UGCAUGUUAAAACAUUUUCAUAUAUAUAUAUACUUAAUUAUUUUUCGCGCGUUUGCACACUCCAUUCUGUUACUCGCUGUGAUCCCGGACCUCUAGCCACCGACGGAUCUCUGUCUCCCACUGACUUGAACUGAGGGCGUAACCCAGCCAAGUAUAAUAAACCUCGGAAAUUAAUCCAGACAGGCCUAUCAUUACCAUGCUCCGGAACACAUCCCGUCGAGCACCCUUAU
Molecule: long non-coding RNA, 230 nt
Filed under: Salvia miltiorrhiza (redroot sage)
Lineage: Eukaryota; Viridiplantae; Streptophyta; Magnoliopsida; Lamiales; Lamiaceae
Description: long non-coding RNA (SMIL_LNC004472)
Source: RNAcentral